This 26-nucleotide non-coding RNA is filed under the name unclassified sequences. The record is from RNAcentral.
CUCUGGCAAUGCAGGGCGGAAAGGAG